UUUAGAGCAAUUUAUUUUUAAUGAUCUUUUAAUCGUCUUUUAAAGCUCUCAGAAACAUCUUAGAAAGAGCUCGAUUAAAGCUCUUAUAAAGAUCUUUUAAAGAUCUAAGAAACAUCUUGGAAAUAUCUUAGAAACAUCUGCUAACCAUCAUUCUAAAUAUCAAGCGUCUUGAAAAGAUCUUAAAAGCGUCUUCAAAACGGCUGGGCUCGUACGUCUCAGAUACGUAAUUCAUAUGGGCAAACGACUUUUAUAAUACGUUUUCCAGACGGAAUGGAAAUCUGAGUGAUUACCUCGCAGAUACGUAUCUGAGACGUACGUGUGCUAUCUGGGAAAUGUUACCUGUUGUAAAGUAACACUAAACCUUCAUAUGUGAUCAGAUGUCAUGCAGUGAUAUUAAACAUUUACAAUGUGAUCUGUUGUGCAUUUAUAUUAAACCUUUACAAUGUGAUCAGAUGUUGUGCAGUUAUAUUAAACCUUUACUAUGUGAUCAGGGCUGCGUUCAGCCCCGACAAAACAUUGCACAACGUUUAUUAAACAGAAACGGUGAUGCAUUGAACACCCUGUUGUGAUGACGCAAGAGUUGCAACUACGGUAGCUGAGAGGCCAUUCUUUGUGUUCUUUUUUAAUUGUUUCUAAAGCCUGAUGAAAUCGUUAUAAAUGUGUGUUUAAUACUGUAAAAUACCCUCGAUGUUACAGUCACUGACCUUGCCGUCCAGAAUGAAAUACAACAUUCCAACUCGAACCCAUUGAGCGAGCUGUCUCUUUACUACCGCGUGGUUUUAUACAUCUUGCCGCUGAUUGGGCCGACAUUUCUGACACACCCACCAAACAAGAGAAAACGCUUCUAAAACCUGUUGCAUUCCGUUGCACACCGUUUCCAGGAAACAUGUCGUUCAACCCGGAAACCGUAGCAAAACGUUGCGCACCGGUGUGAGAUUGAACGUGCCCCAGAUGUUACCUGCCAUGCAGCUAUUCACCUUAUUUUUCACGACAACAAGGGCGGCGCCAUUUCGCUCAUUUUGUCAACGUUCUUCCGGCCGCAUAGACGAUGAGCAGCUGAGGCAGUGACUGAAGGCGACGUGUUAAGCUUAAAAAGCUCACUCGAGCGCCUUUAUGUUUCUUUCUUACCAAUUUUAAGCCAACUGAGGAACACCCUUAUCCCAAUUAUUGGUUCGACUACGAUGUUCCGGUAACUUUAAACCACGCCGGGUGUUGAAAAGGUGGCCAGUUUCAGAUGCAUUGAUGUUUAGUGAUGCAGUGGACAACUGUGAGGAUGAUACAAUCAACAUGUUCCUAAACUGUGAUGCAGAAACACAAUGGGAGCAUCUAUCCGUCUCUGACCACAACUACACUUUAAAAUCACAACUCAACCUGAAGCAACCUACAUCUGAUAUGGGAAAACACUGGUGCGGUUUCCCGGACAGGGCUUAUCCUGGUCCCAGGCUAAAAUGCAUAUUUGAGCUACAAUAAUUUAAAAACACCUUUUACUGACAUACCUCAACAUAUAUGAGUGCCAUUGUUUUGUCACAAGAUGCGCACCAGUCUUGUUUUUUUGUAGGGUUUGUUUGUAAAAACUAAAAUGUCCUAAUAUAAUUAAGGCCUAGUCCUGUAAACCCUGUCCGAGAAACUGCUUCAAUGUGUUGAGCUGGCACAAAUGUACAUAUCUCUACUGAGAAACAACCAUCUUUGUCAGCUUUAAACAGGGUUGAUAUUGCAUCCAUUACACAGUCGCCAAGCACUUUACCAGUACAUACACCAACAGCUUCCAGAUAUACGCUUGGGAUCAGCUCCUGAUGACUCCGAUAAAGCUGUGUCUUAAUUUAUUGCAGGGUGGUCUUGCUUUACCUGUUGUAAAGUUACAUUAAACCUUCAUAUGUGAUCAGAUGUCAUGCAGUGAUAUUAAACAUUUACAGUGUGAUCAGAUGUUGUGCAUUUUAAUUAAACCUUUACAAUGUGAUCAGAUGUUGUGCAAUUAUAUUAAACCUUUACAAUGUGAUCAGAUGUUGUGCAUUUAUAUUAAACCUUUACAAUGUGA
This is a non-coding RNA of Paramisgurnus dabryanus, 2035 nucleotides long. NCBI's taxonomy places the organism in Eukaryota, Metazoa, Chordata, Actinopteri, Cypriniformes, Cobitidae. The record is from RefSeq and is a predicted model, not a curated record.